GGACACUCCGUACGAGAAUGAUUCAGUUGAGUCGGGUAGCUUGGGAAUGCUGCUCUAAUUGGUGGUAAAUCUCAUCAAAGGCUAAAUAUUGACCGGAAACCGAUAGCGAACAAGUACCGUGAGGGAAAGAUGACAAGCACUUUGAAAAGAGGGUGAAAAGAGCCUGAAACCGUCAUGGGGGAAGCGGAUUGCGUUGGAGAUUGGGUUGCUGUGUGUUCAGCCUUUGAAUUUUAAACGAUUUGGGGUGCAUUGGCGCAGUAAUCGAGGCACCGUGGGUUUCAGCUGGUGGAAGUUGCACUGGUUGGGGCUGAGGGAUCCCUUUUAUAGGUGAGGACGGUGUGUGAACGACGCAAUACGACCCGUCUUGAAACACGGACCAAGGAGUCUAGCGCGGUUGCGAGUCAGAGGGUGCAAGCCCGAGGGCGUAGUGAAAGCGAGUGUGAAAACGAGCAGUUUGGGGCGGCAUGAGAUUGUUAAUUUCAAGUCCGACCUUGAGCAGUUGCGCUGGGACCCGAAAGAUGGUGAACUAUGCCGGAAUAGGGCAAAGCCAGAGGAAACUCUGGUGGAGGCUCGUAGCGGUGCUGACGUGCAAAUCGCUCGUCUGAUUUUGGUAUAGGGGCGAAAGACUAAUCGAACCAUCUAGUAGCUGGUUCCCUCCGAAGUUUCUCUCAGGAUAGCGGGCCGACAGGUGUUGUUUUGUGCGGUAAAGCGAAUGAUUAGCGCACUCGGGGGCGGUUUGCCUUUGGGCGAUUCUCAAACUUUCAAUGCGCAAGGGUGCCGCUGCUUGAUUGAGCGGCACCGGCAAAAACGUCGGCCCCGUGGGCCACUUUUGGUAAG
RNAcentral lists this ribosomal RNA (837 nucleotides) under Nothokallymenia crouaniorum. Its description in RNAcentral is "eukaryotic LSU rRNA". It matches the Rfam family "Eukaryotic large subunit ribosomal RNA", at positions 234 to 1144 of the family's 3401-position model. The record is from RNAcentral. Lineage: Eukaryota; Rhodophyta; Florideophyceae; Gigartinales; Kallymeniaceae.